Molecule: unclassified non-coding RNA, 390 nt
Filed under: soil metagenome
Description: partial contains 5.8S ribosomal RNA, internal transcribed spacer 2, and large subunit ribosomal RNA
Rfam family: 5.8S ribosomal RNA (bases 1-122)
Source: RNAcentral
GAUGAAGAACGUAGCGAAAUGCGAUACUUGGUGUGAAUUGCAGAAUCCCGUGAACCAUCGAGUCUUUGAACGCAAGUUGCGCCCGAAGCCAUUAGGCCGAGGGCACGCCUGCCUGGGUGUCACACGUCGUUGCCCCCCCAUCUACUCCUUCGGGAUUGCGGGGGGCGGAUGAUGGCCUCCCGUGCGCCUCGUCGCGCGGUUGGCAUAAAUGCCAAGUCCUCGGCGACGCACGCCACGACAAUCGGUGGUUGCGAAACCUCGGUUGCCCGUCGUGUGCGGUCGUCGCGCAUCGAGGGCUCGAAAAAAUUGCCGGGCUCCGGCUCGGCUUUCAACGCGACCCCAGGUCAGGCGGGGUUACCCGCUGAAUUUAAGCAUAUCAAUAAGGGAGGA